Molecule: ribosomal RNA, 406 nt
Filed under: uncultured bacterium
Lineage: Bacteria
Description: bacterial SSU rRNA
Rfam family: Bacterial small subunit ribosomal RNA
Source: RNAcentral
UGAGGAAUAUUGGGCAAUGGGCGCAAGCCUGACCCAGCAAUGCCGCGUGCAGGAGGACGCCCUUCGGGGUGUAAACUGCUUUUGUGAGGGAGCAGACAAGGAGCGUACCUCACGAAUCAGUCACGGCUAACUACGUGCCAGCAGCCGCGGUAAUACGUAGGUGGCGAACGUUAUCCGGAGUAACUGGGUGUAAAGGGUCCGUAGGCGGGGGGUCAAGUCUGACGUGAAAGCGCCCGGCUCAACUGGGCGAGUGCGUUGGAAACUGACUCUCUUGAAUCACGCAGAGGUCGGCGGAAUUCCCGGUGUAGUGGUGGAAUGCGUAGAGAUCGGGAGGAACCUCGAAAGCGAAGGCAGCCGACUGGGGGAUGAUUGACGCUGAGGGACGAAAGCGUGGGGAGCGAACAGG